GAUGAACGCUGGCGGCGUGCCUAAUACAUGCAAGUCGAGCGAACAGACGAGGCUCUUGCUUCGCUUACGUUAGCGGCGGACGAGUGAGUAACAGGUGGAUAACCGGCCGAUAAGACUGACGUAACGUCAGGAGACCUGAUCUAAUACCGGAUAUGAGGGUGAAACGCAUGGUUCAAUGGUCAAAAAGGUAUUUGCUGUCCCUAGGACGUGUAUCCUGGCCGGAUUAGCUAGUUGGUAAGGUAACGGCGUACCAAGGCAACGAUCCGUAGCCGACCUGAGAGGAUGAUCAGCCACACUGGAACUGAGACACGGUCCAGACUCCUACGGGAGGCAGCAGUAGGGAAUAUUCGACAAUGGGCGAAAGCCUGACGCAGCAAUGCCGCGUGUGUGAUGAAGGUCUUCGGAUCGUAAAACACUGUUAUUAGGGAAGAACGGAUGUAUAUGUAAAUCUGCCCGUCUUGACGGUACCUACACAGAAAGCAACGGCUAACUACGUG
RNAcentral lists this ribosomal RNA (497 nucleotides) under uncultured bacterium. Its description in RNAcentral is "partial 16S ribosomal RNA". It matches the Rfam family "Bacterial small subunit ribosomal RNA", at positions 28 to 507 of the family's 1533-position model. The record is from RNAcentral.